This 653-nucleotide ribosomal RNA is filed under the name fungal endophyte. Its description in RNAcentral is "partial large subunit ribosomal RNA". The stretch from base 1 to 473 matches the Rfam family "Eukaryotic large subunit ribosomal RNA", at positions 735 to 954 of the family's 3401-position model. Lineage: Eukaryota; Fungi. RNAcentral also lists the same sequence under 1 other name. The record is from RNAcentral.
GUGAGAACCCUUAAGGGUGCAUCAUCGACCGAUCCUGAUGUCUUCGGAUGGAUUUGAGUAAGAGCAUAAUUUUUGGGACCCGAAAGAUGAUGAACUAUGCCUAGAUAGGGUGAAGCCAGAGGAAACUCUGGUGGAGGCUCGCAGCGGUUCUGACGUAGAGAAAAACCAUGGCGCCGGGCAGGCAGCUGCCCGGGCGGUUUGUGCGUCUUAGAGCGAGCGCUCCGGCGCUCGCUAGUGGGUUGGGCCUUCGCGCCGCGACCUGCGACACUGCCACUUUGUGGGAAAACCGGGCCUUGGCUCGGCGAUCCGCAGCCCCUACCCGGGGUUCAGAGACUAGACGGCAGUGGGCGCGCUCCCACGGGGCGUGCUUGAGGUAUAGUCCGUCCCUAUCCGCGAGGAUAGGGAUCGAUACGGCAAAUCGAUCGUCAAAUCUGGGUAUAGGGGCGAAAGACUAAUCGAAUCAUGAGACUUAGCUUCUAGGUGGUUGGGAGGUUCUAACGGACCUAGUCGCGCACCGCGGCGAUACUGCAAAAUUGCGGGGACCGCUCGAUAGGCGGCAGGCUACCGCGCGGGAAACCGCGCUGCACGGUCACAACGCCUGCGCCUGAGCCGAUCCGCAGUCGCUGCCCUACGGCCCCAGGCCACGGGCGGGG